CCUACGGGUGGCAGCAGUGGGGAAUAUUGCACAAUGGGCGAAAGCCUGAUGCAGCAACGCCGCGUGAAGGAAGACGGUUUUCGGAUUGUAAACUUCUGUUCUUAGUGAAGAAUAAUGACGGUAACUAAGGAGCAAGCCACGGCUAACUACGUGCCAGCAGCCGCGGUAAUACGUAGGUGGCAAGCGUUGUCCGGAAUUACUGGGUGUAAAGGGAGCGUAGGCGGGAAGCCAAGUCAGCUGUGAAAACUACGGGCUUAACCUGUAGACUGCAGUUGAAACUGGCUUUCUUGAGUGAAGUAGAGGUUGGCGGAAUUCCGGGUGUAGCGGUGAAAUGCGUAGAUAUCACGAAGAACCCCGAUUGCGAAGGCAGCCGGCCGCAGCGUUACUGACGCUGAAGCUCGAAAGCGCGGGUAUCGAACAGGAUUAGAUACCCGGGUAGUC
RNAcentral lists this ribosomal RNA (441 nucleotides) under uncultured bacterium. RNAcentral describes it as "partial 16S ribosomal RNA". It matches the Rfam family "Bacterial small subunit ribosomal RNA", at positions 338 to 795 of the family's 1533-position model. The record is from RNAcentral.